RNAcentral lists this ribosomal RNA (566 nucleotides) under Physarum polygonosporum. RNAcentral describes it as "SSU rRNA". It matches the Rfam family "Eukaryotic small subunit ribosomal RNA", at positions 48 to 509 of the family's 1831-position model. Lineage: Eukaryota; Evosea; Eumycetozoa; Physariida; Physaraceae. The record is from RNAcentral.
GCCAUGCAUGUCUCCGAAUAGAAGAGCUUUCUCUCUGAAUCUGCGAACGGCUCCGCAAACCAGUUGUAAACUAUAGCAAGCAAGCGACCUAAGCUGCUCACGCGGUUUUUGGAAGCUGAUAGGGAUAACCCUGGUAAUUCUGAGGCUAAUACAAGAAGGUAAGAUCCGAUCGACCGGGCAACUGGGAGGUUGGAAGUCGCGUGAGCAAUCAUGCAAGCUUACACUAGACGGGAAUGGGUGCGCGACUCGACCAUCAUACAAAACGGUUCUAGACUGCGAGGUUAACCUCUCUCUUUUUUUCCUCCUCCGGGGGGUUCAAAAUGGGGAUUACUGAGCUAACUUGAUCCGGGUGGCUCUUGCUGUGUGCUUCUGACCUAUCAACUAGAUGGCAGCGUAAGGGACAUGCUAUGGUUACAACGGGUACAGAGGAUAAGGGUUUGAUCCUGGAGAGUGGGCCUGAGAGAUUGCUCAUACUUCUAAGGAAGGCAGCAGGCGCGUAACGUUCCCAUUGGGCAAAGCCUGAGGGCGUUAGGGGACAUAUGAAUGCUUGCCACAUGGUAGGCAAU